RNAcentral lists this non-coding RNA (422 nucleotides) under Mus musculus (house mouse). Lineage: Eukaryota; Metazoa; Chordata; Mammalia; Rodentia; Muridae. The record is from RNAcentral.
GAGGACCGUAUUCAUGGAAGAGGAUUGAACAGAAGCAGAUGAAUAUAUGGGAGAUGAAGUAGACAGUAUGUUGGAUAAAUCUGGAGUAAAGAACCCAGCAAUUGGUAAGGAUGAGAAUAUAUCGCCUCAAGUAAAAGGAGAUGAAGACAUGGGAGAUGAAAUUGACAGUAUGUUGGCUACAUCUGGAGGUCUUUUCUCCUGAGAACACGGGACUCCAGCAUCUUCGGAUUCUGCUCUUGGAGAUGUGUGCAGCUGAACAGAGCGUUGAGGAAACGUCAGUGAUUUUAUAACUACUUAUCAUGUUGGGAGAUUGUUGUGAUGAUUGCCUGGACUCUCAGAUGUUACACAGGCUGCAUCAUUGGACUGAAAGUGAAUGGCCCAUGUGUUGCCACUGAUGUGAGCCAUUUGCCUGUUGUGCUUCA